UACGGAGGGUGCAAGCGUUGUCCGGAUUUAUUGGGUUUAAAGGGUGCGUAGGCGGCCCGGUAAGUCAGUGGUGAAAGCCUCCAGCUCAACUGGAGAACUUGAGUACAGACGAGGGCGGCGGAAUGGAUGGUGUAGCGGUGAAAUGCAUAGAUACCAUCCAGAACCCCGAUUGCGAAGGCAGCUGCCUAGACUGUAACUGACGCUGAGGCACGAAAGCGUGGGGAGCGAACAGG
RNAcentral lists this ribosomal RNA (233 nucleotides) under uncultured bacterium. RNAcentral's name for it is "partial 16S ribosomal RNA". It matches the Rfam family "Bacterial small subunit ribosomal RNA", at positions 524 to 776 of the family's 1533-position model. The record is from RNAcentral.